AAGAAGUACUGAAAAUGUUAAUUGAGGCUGCUAACUUUAAUUAGGGAUUACUGUUUCCACUUUUUA
RNAcentral lists this transfer RNA (66 nucleotides) under Virpazaria ripkeni. RNAcentral describes it as "tRNA-Ser". The record is from RNAcentral. Lineage: Eukaryota; Metazoa; Mollusca; Gastropoda; Stylommatophora; Spelaeodiscidae.